UUGACAUCGGAAGGACAGUAUGGACACUUGAAAGAUUUUGUACCGUUCUUUGACAUCUUCGUAAUAGACUGCUUGCAGAGCACAUGUCCACAUGACAUCAACAUAGGCGGAUUUUCUUCUGUUGAUUGUUCCUUUGAUACUGGACACACAAAUAUAGAAUGGAAAUGAAACUCACGGUCUAACUCCACUGGUACAGGUAACUGCUUCAUAGACUGCCAUUCCAAUCUCUUUCCUGCCAUUACGUUCAUAAACUUGAGAAGAGGUGGCAAACCACGAAUCCCUGCCUCCAUGGUCACACUUAACGGGCUCUUGUAAGACUGACCCAGAAUAUUGCAGAACAGCCUGGUUAGCUCCCCCGUCACUGUGUCCCAAUUGGCUGGUGAUAAUAAGUGAGAAUAUGGGGAGUGCUCAAGCCUUCCAGUCCACAGAAGAGCCCCCAUAAGCUUUUGUAUUUCAACCAUAUGGUUGGAAGCAAACGGAGCAAGACAAGCUUUUGAAUACUGGAGAGCUCUAUCUCUAUUUCCCUUUUGCACUAUUUCAACAAAUUGCAGUCUGUGAAGUUUCAGUAAUAGGUCUGAUCCAUUUGGUUUGAGUUUAUCAGAGUUAAACAUGGCCCAGUUCAGUGCUGGCUCUAGAUUCCGAUGUUUCAUUGCAUCAACUAUCCCAAACAAUUCCUGAAACUGAGAUUUCAUAGCCAAUGCAGAUACUGAUUCCCCAGUCUCACUUGUAAAACAAUCACCAACUUCGAAUAGGCCCUGCCGAUAGAAAUGGCUGCCAAUUAUCUCAUUGACUGUGUGGGUAUCAAAGUCAAUGUUUCUAUAAGCCUUGGAUAUAUCAGGAACGAAGGAUUUCUCCACAAUCUUUGGAUACUUGCUAAGUGCUAGGUUCAGUUCCUUCUGCGUGCUUUCCAACUGACUGAGUGGAGCUAUAUCUUUUAACUUGGCUUUAAGAUCAGCAAGAACAGACUUACAAUCAAUCCGAGAUUCACGAUCAUUAGAUGAUUGUAGCUUCUGUAAUGUCUGCUUGAUUUCUUUGUCGAUCAGAUCGAACACUUCUUGAACUUUAGAGUUUGACAGCUUUUGUUUCUUUGUAACACGAUCAAAUGCAUCUUUAAUGGCUGUCAGCUCCAUUUUCAUUUAUACUACUGUAUCGGUAUCAGCAGUAGUUUGUGAUGAGAAAUGAAGAUGAAAGGAUCUACACAAAAAAGAGGAAAGAGUUUUUGUAAGCUUAAAACAUUAAAGCAUAGUGUACAACUGUAUCUUAUGAAAAUGCACAUGAGAAAUCAAAGGCCUGAUUGGAAACUGCCAAAUACAUUCCUAUACACAGACAUUAAGAAGCAACAUAAAUAAGGUUUGCUUAACUUCACAUGAAAUAGUUUAUUCUCAAAACACGAAUAGAGAAAUACACCCCCAAAAAUAAAAAAGGAUAGGGCUUUUCACAUUUAAGCCCUUGAUUACAGAAAAACAGUUAAAACUCAAUACUUCAGAGAAAAACUUAACUUACUUCGUAACACCAUAUGAAUUUCACAACUAAGAAUCAUUUAGAACAUGACAAGUGGAUAGAUGAGGGUUUUUAUUUUCCUUCACCAAUUGAGCUCUUCAAGUGUUUUUCUAUAAAAUAAAAUAAAAAAACCUUAUAGUUGGGGUGUUUUUCUAAUUUACAAAAUAACGAUAUGGAAGAAUAAUGGGUGUGAAAGUUCACAUUGAUGGCUUAAAGCAAACGAAAUAUUCUUACAACGAAAAUCUUCGGCGAACACAGCUAAUCAGGUGUCACAAAUUUACCCAAAAUGUAGAAGAGUCCCUUGACUCAUUCAAAUGAUAUGGAAAAUUGUAUUUCUCACAUAUUUGGGAUACCAUGUGAUUUAUAAGUGGCUUUAGCCUCCCUAUGCAUUAUUUCCUCCCAACGGGAGAUACAGAUCAACCAUAUGAGUUCGGAGCUAGUUAGGCAUUGGACCUGUGCAGCAAGAGCUAUGGCAUAAGUCAUCUUACACACUAGAACAAACAAAGAUUGACAGUGUAUUUCCAAAUUCUUUCCACAUUUGUCUGUUGCCCCCAAAAACAUACAGCCACCUUAACAUACAAUAAUUUGGAUAUGCAGUGUACAUAAAGUGAAAGAAGUAUGGUAUUUGUGCAAAAUAUAAUGUGAGAGUUAAUUCCCUACACUAAUCGCCUUUCGCGUUAGCAAGGUAAAAAUCAGAGAGCUUAAAACGGGUGAAAAAUCUAAGUCAGUUAAAAGACUAGAAUUAAACACUUGCACUUAAUCAAGCUUCUUCUUGGUUGUUACUGGGAAAUUGUAAAUCAUUUACAGACGUAUUAUGGCAUGGGAAAACUAGAUAUCCUCCCCAGAUUACAAACUGGUUCAAGGGUCAACCAUUUUUUUUUAUUUUAAUAUUUUAUACAGUUAUGUUUUAAACUACUCCAUUCUACAGGGAGAGAGAUUUGAACUCAGAUUCAAUGGAGGGAGCAUACUGGCCAACUAGCCUAAUUCGCAGCGGAAAUCAGCAAUCUGGUAUUAAAAGGGAAGCCUUGACAUACUAAAAGAACCGAAAAAUUCGACAUGCUGGGUCAAAUUUUUUUUGGGUAAUUAACAUAGCACUAAGUAUUACGAUGAUUGAACAGCUACACUGCUAUAUAGAGAAGUCCAAUACAAGCUUGAAGCUUUUUUUUUUUUUCUUUUUGCUUCAGAAAUCAAGCGAUCGAUAAUUCCCUCUCUUUGAGAUUUCAAGUGAUGCAUAUGAAUUAAACUGAUCAACGAAAACUAAAGAUUCAUUGAACAAUUACAUCCGCUAUUACCUUCAAUCUUUCAUCUUUUCUAACCUGCACAAUUGAAAGAAAUUUUAUAUUUCUGUGCCGUGAGGGAGAGAGAGAGAUACCUUGAGAUGAGUUCGAAGUUGGGAGAGUAGUAGCGAAGGGUUUCUGCACAUCAGCCGGAGAUGUGGCGAAAGAGAGUUGCAGAUCGGCGAAAGAGAUGGCGAACAUGUGUGAUUUAGGUUUUGUCAGUUAAAGUUCUAGGGCUCGAUUUUGUAAGAACAAUGAUUAUAAAGGGUAACACGCUACCAAAACUCUGUUUUAUUUUUAUUUUUCUACUCUUAACAUUCCGUAUCGAUUAAUAGAAUUUCGUGUUUAUAAUCAAAAUUAUUCAUAUUAUAUAUUAUUUUUUCAAAAAAAAUCAUCUUUGCAAAAAGAAAAGAAAAAAAAUUAAAUAAAACUAAAGUCGUUUAGUCAAUAACCUGUAACAAAUAAAUAGACGUUUUAUAAUGCUUUUACUAAAUCCGUCCAAUUGUUUUUAUAUAGUUCGAUGACUAAAUUUUUAAGAUUUUAUUGAUAAUAAAAACUUUACAUAGUGCUUUAUAAUAUUAACAGUUCCGAUAAUAGACACAAAGUUUUGUAAUUCACUCACGAAGUAUUUCAAGGAGGAACGCCAAGUUAAUUCCUUUUUCUUUGUUUACCCUUUUUCUGCUUUUUGUUUGUUAAAAAAAAAUAUUUGUUUGAUCUUGGUAACUUGUAAAUAAAUCAAAGGAUAUAAGCCUAGGGGUGUUUUUGGACGGAUCGAACCGGAAAUAACACUUUCAAUUCUCGUUUCAAAAUUUUGGAACGGGAUCGGAUUUUCAGAAUCGGAGUAAUUCUAAUAAUUUUAAAAAUUCACAUCAUUUAUAUUUUUUGAUAUUUCUUUGGACUUUCUCAUACAUGCAAUUUGUUGUAUUUUCUUAAUAUUUAGUGCAUACUUAAUGUAUAAAUUCAAUUAACGUUUUGGUAUACUAGUAGGUUUAUCCUUUUUUUAAUAUAUAGUAAUAUUUGCCUACACACUUUGUAUGUAUGAACAUAUUUUUUUAGAAAAUAGGAAGGAGAGAGGGAGAGAAUGAGAAUGUGGGGGGAGUGAGGUUUUUUUUUUCUUUUUUUUUAAAUAUUAGAAGUAUUUUAACAUCAUUUGUAGAUGAGACUUUAAUAAAAAAAAGUAAAAUUUGAACCUAUGAAAUUACAUUAUUACCCAUCAUUUUUUUUUAGGGAUAGAAGACUAAUUUAUCUUUUUACCCUCUUUUGGUUGACAAAGAUGAUUUUAUUAAUUAGUAGAGAUAAAUAUGUCACUCAGUACUACGGUCUGAUAAUAUUCCUGGUUAUAGUUUACAUGACCCAAACGACGCAGCUUUGUAAUAUCGGGUCAACAAUUGAGCCCCGAAGCCUGAUGAGCACAUUAGAGUUUACAUGACCCAGCAGGAGACAGAUAGAGAAGUAUAACUUACUCAGAAGGAUGAGGCAGCAUGCCCUUGUCUUGGGGUCCAGAUCAUGAUGCAUUCAAAUUAGCCCCAGGGGAAGUGGAUUUCUUUAACCGCCGGCCAGUAAAAGGAAUUUUCUGUUUACAACAAAUGCUUCAACAAACCAAACAGACCGGCUUUUGACACUUUUGACACGGCACCAUAACCACAUAUCGUAACUACACAACACAGCAUGACUAGUUUCUACAAGCCUAAUCCAGUGAGAGGAGAAACACGGUUGCAACUAGUUCCUUUUGCAGAUGCAUCAGAAAACAAGCGGCCUACACUGUGCGGAAUUGACGUCUGAAGGACAGUAUGGACACUUGAAAGAUUUUGUACCGUUCUUUGACAUCUUCAUAAUAGACUGCUUGCAGAGCACAUGUCCACAUGACAUCAACAUAGGCGGAUUUUCUUCUGUUGAUUGUUCCCUUGAUACUGGACACACAAAUAUAGAAUGGAAAUGAAACUCACGGUCUAACUCCACUGGUACAGGUAACUGCUUCAUAGAUUGCCAUUCCUGUCUCUUUCCUGCCAUUACAUUCAUAAACUUGAGAAGAGGUGGCAAACCCUGAAUCCCUGCCUCCAUUGUCACACUUAACGGGCUCUUGUAAGACUGACCCAGAAUAUUGCAGAACUGCCUGGUUAGCUCCCCCAUCACUUUGUCCCAAUUGGCUGGUGAUAAUAAGUGAGAGUAUGGGGAGUGCUCA
This 4959-nucleotide long non-coding RNA is filed under the name Malus domestica (apple). RNAcentral's name for it is "long non-coding RNA (MDOM_LNC000718)". Lineage: Eukaryota; Viridiplantae; Streptophyta; Magnoliopsida; Rosales; Rosaceae. The record is from RNAcentral.